UACGUAGGGGGCAAGCGUUGUCCGGAUUUAUUGGGCGUAAAGAGCGUGUAGGCGGCUUGGUAGGUCUCGCGUCAAAACCUGAGGCUCAACCUCAGUUCGCGUGGGAAACCACCUAGCUAGAGUCCGGAAGAGGAGAACGGAAUUCCCAGUGUAGCGGUGAAAUGCGCAGAUAUUGGGAAGAACACCAGUGGCGAAGGCGGUUCUCUGGGACGGUACUGACGCUGAGACGCGAAAGCUGGGGGAGCGAACGGG
This 252-nucleotide ribosomal RNA is filed under the name uncultured bacterium. RNAcentral describes it as "partial 16S ribosomal RNA". It matches the Rfam family "Bacterial small subunit ribosomal RNA", at positions 524 to 776 of the family's 1533-position model. The record is from RNAcentral.